CCUACGGGAGGCAGCAGUGGGGAAUUUUGCGCAAUGCUCGUAAGAGUGACGCAGCGACGCCGCGUGAAUGACGAAGGCCUUCGGGUCGUAAAGUUCUUUUGUGCGGGAGCAAUAAUGGUCACGUGUGGCCAGACGAGAGUACCGUACGAAUAAGCAUCGGCUAACUCCGUGCCAGCAGCCGCGGUAAUACGGGGGAUGCAAGCGUUAUCCGGAUUUAUUGGGUUUAAAGGGUGCGUAGGCUGUGAGGUAAGUCAGCGGUGAAAUGCCCCCGCUCAACGGGGUGAAGUGCCAUUGAUACUGCCUUGCUGGAAUGCGGAUGCCGUGGGAGGAAUGUGUGGUGUAGCGGUGAAAUGCAUAGAUAUCACACAGAACACCGAUUGCGAAGGCAUCUCACGAAUCCGCGAUUGACGCUGAUGCACGAAAGCGUGGGUAUCAAACAGGAUUAGAUACCCGGGUAGUC
This 460-nucleotide ribosomal RNA is filed under the name uncultured bacterium. RNAcentral's name for it is "partial 16S ribosomal RNA". It matches the Rfam family "Bacterial small subunit ribosomal RNA", at positions 338 to 795 of the family's 1533-position model. The record is from RNAcentral.